Molecule: long non-coding RNA, 368 nt
Filed under: Danio rerio (zebrafish)
Lineage: Eukaryota; Metazoa; Chordata; Actinopteri; Cypriniformes; Danionidae
Description: si:dkey-218l23.4 (ENSDARG00000097051.2)
Source: RNAcentral
GCACUCAGUCAGCUCCCUUGCUCAUGAGGUGCUUGAUUUGUUGGUCGUGUAAACGAAUUCGAGCACUGGUAAAAACAGUGAUCAUAACAUAAGCUUGAACAAUAUAUUUUUUAGCAGAACAAUACGUUUUAAAAAGUAUUUUAUAGCUAAAAAAAAGUGAUUGUUUCAUAUACAGUUCAUUAAGAUGCAUAGUGAGCAUUGAUACACCCAUAUAUUCAUGGUGCAUUGUGUGACUUUUCAGGAAGUGAAUGUUUCAGUACACUGGAAGAAUUUUUGUGAUUGAAACAGCACUUGUGAUGCAAAAAUUAUUAUUAACAAUUAGCAAUGUUUACAGCCCUGCUGAAAAAUCCAGCUUGAACCAGCCUAGG